GGUCUGUCUGCGCGGUCUCCUAUUGGUUGCACUGCAAGGGCGGAUCUUUCCUUCUGGCUAGCCAUUUUGCUCUUAACCGGGUGAGAUGGGGAACCAGGACUUUUACUUUGAAAAAAUUAGAGUGUUUAAAGCAGGCUUACGCUUGAAUACAUUAGCAUGGAAUAAUAGAAUAGGACUUUG
RNAcentral lists this ribosomal RNA (180 nucleotides) under uncultured Glomeromycotina. RNAcentral describes it as "partial small subunit ribosomal RNA". The stretch from base 87 to 180 matches the Rfam family "Eukaryotic small subunit ribosomal RNA", at positions 736 to 832 of the family's 1831-position model. The record is from RNAcentral. Lineage: Eukaryota; Fungi; Glomeromycota.